RNAcentral lists this ribosomal RNA (254 nucleotides) under uncultured bacterium. Its description in RNAcentral is "partial 16S ribosomal RNA". It matches the Rfam family "Bacterial small subunit ribosomal RNA", at positions 524 to 776 of the family's 1533-position model. The record is from RNAcentral.
UACGUAGGGUGCGAGCGUUUGUCCGGAAUUAUUGGGCGUAAAGGGCUCGUAGGCGGUCUGUCACGUCGGGAGUGAAAACUCAGGGCUUAACCCUGAGCCUGCUUCCGAUACGGGCAGACUAGAGGUAUGCAGGGGAGAACGGAAUUCCUGGUGUAGCGGUGAAAUGCGCAGAUAUCAGGAGGAACACCGGUGGCGAAGGCGGUUCUCUGGGCAUUACCUGACGCUGAGGAGCGAAAGUGUGGGGAGCGAACAGG